GAUCUCGUCCUUUCCGAGGUCCUCUGCCGCGUGUUUGGAAGUUAUGGCCGCGCGGGUCUGUGGUGUUCUCCCUGAAAGGCCUAAGCUUUGGGUGAUGGCAUUGCCUUUUGGCACUCGGGAGACAAGAUGCAGGUUCCGUCUCAGAAGUAAUGGCUGGAUCCCUGAAAGCCAACGGGCUCGGUGUGGUCCACCCGUCAGAAGGCAUAGGUAGAUGGUGGGCAUCUGCCUCAGACAUAGUUCUCAAGUUCAGCCAGAAGAAUGCGCGUUGAGCCCUCUGCAGCCCGUGUCGACGGAGGUGUUGUCUCCAGGAAGCAUCAUGGAAAGGCGUGGUGGUGCACAAGGGCCUUCAGGAUGCCUGCGCCUGGUGACGGCUGCGCCUCAGGUUCUGGGCCUGACUCGGAAGGGUGCCUGUGAGCAGAAGAGCUGGCACGCGCAGCUCAGUGGACCAUCAGUGCCAACCCGUCCUGUACCCUGGCUGAGGGGUGUGCUAAGUGGCAGGCAAGUUUCAGCAGGAUUUUUUCGUUUCUUCGCUAGGUUUGUAGCUCUCUUGUGACAGACAAGCGAUUGUCACUGGUUGAGCUGAGGAUGAUUUAAGUUAUCCCUGUCUGAAAUGACACUUUCUGAAGAGUCAUGGUUUACUGAGGCUCGACUUUUAAGACCUAUUUUGAGAAUGUCCACAGUAAGAUUGCUUCUGUUAGAGUGAGGUGUGUUGUCUUCGUUACUCAGAUUCCCGGUUGGCUCAUCGUAAGGCGUGGCACAAAAUCACCAUCGAAAGAAAGGGCCUUCGGGAUGCCUCUAUCUGGUAAGAGCUUCACAGAAUUGCAGGGGUUGUGGUUGCUGGGAAGGGUUAGUCUGUUAGAUCAGGUGCUGCAGAAUCGAGUGUAACCCUUCCUCCCUUUAGUCUUACUGUGUAGCCCGUGCUGGCCUGCAACUUGCUAUGUAGACCUGGUUGACCUCAAACUCAGUUUGUGGCCUUUCAGGUGCUGGGAUUUUCAUGUUCUCAUUUUGUGUUCCCGAAAAGCCCAUAAGCCUAUGAUGGAUUGGUUAUCCCUGUCUGAAGAUUUCAGCUGAGGGAAAAUACUCUAUUCUGAGGCUUAGGGGUGUGGCUCCAUGCUUGAAGAAAUUUGAGCUUUAUAAGGGAUCAAGUUAAAUAGACUCCAUAGAGAGCUGUGUGCCAACCUCCCAAAACCUAAGGUCUAGUUGCCUGUUAAUCCUCCUCCUUGGGUGCUCUGAGGGCAAAGUCCCUGAGUUAGCAGAAAUGGGCGGGCUGCCAGCACCUGUCCUGUGCUCACUGGAGUGAGACAUGCUGGUCACAUAGUUCUAGAAAAUGAAUGUCUUCCUUUAGAGGAGGCAGGGAUGUAAGGCGUGCCAUGAGAAUGCUUGACGACUCUGUCGUUGCCUCUAGCGGUGCUGACAUUUAGAAAAGAAGUUGUGGCCCUGGCAGCCUCCUAAGUAUCGUCUCCUUGAUGGCACAGAAACAAGUGGCGGGCUUGGGGGGGGGGGGGCUUUGCUCAGCCCAGCCUUAGUAAUGCAGUGUACACUGUGUCCUUUUUCUCUAUGGAAUCUGGGGGGUGGAUAUGGGCUUACACUAAAGUAGCUGUACUUGUGGAAUUCUCUGCAGGGUGGCUCUGCUUGCCUUCACUUCUGAGUGGACUCAGGUUCAGGUCCUCAGGGAUUUGGUUGAAUAUAAAUACUCUGAUGUUUCAUGAGAAACCUUUUUUUGGCCACUUACCAGGAACUUCUUAAAACUUUCUUUUAAAAAAAAAGUUAGCAGCCUGCUUCUGAACUUGGCUGGUGCCUGCCUGUGUGUAGCGCACACAGUGCCUUGUGAUGGCGGCUGGAAUCCCAGGACUAUCUGAUAAUGCUUGUUCCUAAAGUUUGUAGUUUUGAUCACUUAGCUGCCUGUCUCCUUCAGGUUCUUUCCUUGUUUCUAGGUUAUUGCCCUGUAGUGCCAGAGAGAACCACAUAGCCUGCUGCUGCUCCUGCCUUUAAUUUCCCAAAGAGUCAUCAGACGACCUUGGAGUUUGUUCUGCAAGAGGAGCCAGUAAGGCCUCGUGACUGUGGUCACCCUCGGAAGCCUUUGACAGCUAGCUGGUGAGGGCGCUCAGUCGGAGGCCCUGGGGAGGCCCCUGCUAAGCCGAGAAAAGCAUUUCUCACAGUGGAUUUCCUGGAAGUCAGGGUUGGCCUUUGUAUUUUGAAGCACAAAUAAACUUUAUAAAAUUUAA
This 2225-nucleotide long non-coding RNA is filed under the name Mus musculus (house mouse). RNAcentral's name for it is "small nucleolar RNA host gene 16". The stretch from base 575 to 649 matches the Rfam family "Small nucleolar RNA R38". The record is from RNAcentral. Lineage: Eukaryota; Metazoa; Chordata; Mammalia; Rodentia; Muridae.